This 650-nucleotide ribosomal RNA is filed under the name Escherichia coli. RNAcentral's name for it is "partial 23S ribosomal RNA". It matches the Rfam family "Bacterial large subunit ribosomal RNA", at positions 540 to 1191 of the family's 2925-position model. The record is from RNAcentral. Lineage: Bacteria; Pseudomonadati; Pseudomonadota; Gammaproteobacteria; Enterobacterales; Enterobacteriaceae.
GAAAAAGAACCUGAAACCGUGUACGUACAAGCAGUGGGAGCACGCUUAGGCGUGUGACUGCGUACCUUUUGUAUAAUGGGUCAGCGACUUAUAUUCUGUAGCAAGGUUAACCGAAUAGGGGAGCCGAAGGGAAACCGAGUCUUAACUGGGCGUUAAGUUGCAGGGUAUAGACCCGAAACCCGGUGAUCUAGCCAUGGGCAGGUUGAAGGUUGGGUAACACUAACUGGAGGACCGAACCGACUAAUGUUGAAAAAUUAGCGGAUGACUUGUGGCUGGGGGUGAAAGGCCAAUCAAACCGGGAGAUAGCUGGUUCUCCCCGAAAGCUAUUUAGGUAGCGCCUCGUGAAUUCAUCUCCGGGGGUAGAGCACUGUUUCGGCAAGGGGGUCAUCCCGACUUACCAACCCGAUGCAAACUGCGAAUACCGGAGAAUGUUAUCACGGGAGACACACGGCGGGUGCUAACGUCCGUCGUGAAGAGGGAAACAACCCAGACCGCCAGCUAAGGUCCCAAAGUCAUGGUUAAGUGGGAAACGAUGUGGGAAGGCCCAGACAGCCAGGAUGUUGGCUUAGAAGCAGCCAUCAUUUAAAGAAAGCGUAAUAGCUCACUGGUCGAGUCGGCCUGCGCGGAAGAUGUAACGGGGCUAAACCAUG